AUUCCUCGGCCUAGUGGUCAAAGCGUCUGCCUCUGAUGCUGGACAUCGCGAGUUCGAACCCCGGCCGAGCUAUA
This is a non-coding RNA of Potamilus streckersoni, 74 nucleotides long. The record is from the annotation of a GenBank genome assembly. Lineage: Eukaryota; Metazoa; Mollusca; Bivalvia; Unionida; Unionidae.